GAUGAACGCUGGCGGCGUGCCUAAUACAUGCCAGUCGAGCGAACGGGCGAGAAGCUUGCUUCUCUGAUGUUAGCGGCGGACGGGUGAGUAACACGUGGAUAACCUACCUAUAAGACUGGGAUAACUUCGGGAAACCGGAGCUAAUACCGGAUAAUAUUUUGAACCGCAUGGUUCAAAAGUGAAAGACGGUCUUGCUGUCACUUAUAGAUGGAUCCGCGCUGCAUUAGCUAGUUGGUAAGGUAACGGCUUACCAAGGCAACGAUGCAUAGCCGACCUGAGAGGGUGAUCGGCCACACUGGAACUGAGACACGGUCCAGACUCCUACGGGAGGCAGCAGUAGGGAAUCUUCCGCAAUGGGCGAAAGCCUGACGGAGCAACGCCGCGUGAGUGAUGAAGGUCUUCGGAUCGUAAAACUCUGUUACUAGGGAAGAACAUAUGUGUAAGUAACUGUGCACAUCUUGACGGUACCUAAUCAGAAAGCCACGGCUAACUACGUGC
Molecule: ribosomal RNA, 498 nt
Filed under: uncultured bacterium
Lineage: Bacteria
Description: partial 16S ribosomal RNA
Rfam family: Bacterial small subunit ribosomal RNA
Source: RNAcentral